Molecule: ribosomal RNA, 751 nt
Filed under: Pseudocercospora struthanthi
Lineage: Eukaryota; Fungi; Ascomycota; Dothideomycetes; Mycosphaerellales; Mycosphaerellaceae
Description: eukaryotic LSU rRNA
Rfam family: Eukaryotic large subunit ribosomal RNA
Source: RNAcentral
UCUGGCGUAAGCCCGAGUUGUAAUUUGUAGAGGAUGCUUCUGGGUAGCGGCCGGUCUAAGUUCCUUGGAACAGGACGUCAUAGAGGGUGAGAAUCCCGUAUGUGACUGGCUUGCACCCUCCACGUAGCUCCUUCGACGAGUCGAGUUGUUUGGGAAUGCAGCUCUAAAUGGGAGGUAAAUUUCUUCUAAAGCUAAAUACCGGCCAGAGACCGAUAGCGCACAAGUAGAGUGAUCGAAAGAUGAAAAGCACUUUGGAAAGAGAGUUAAAAAGCACGUGAAAUUGUUGAAAGGGAAGCGCCCGCAACCAGACUUUGCGGCGGUGUUCGGCUGGUCUUCUGACCGGUUUACUCGCCGCCGUGAGGCCAUCAUCGUCUGGGACCGCUGGAUAAGACCUGAGGAAUGUAGCUCCCUUCGGGGUGUGUUAUAGCCUCUGGUGAUGCAGCGCGUCUCGGGCGAGGUCCGCGCUUCGGCAAGGAUGAUGGCGUAAUGGUUGUCGGCGGCCCGUCUUGAAACACGGACCAAGGAGUCUAACAUCUAUGCGAGUGUUCGGGUGUCAAACCCCUACGCGUAAUGAAAGUGAACGGAGGUGGGAACUUUUUGUGCACCAUCGACCGAUCCUGAUGUCCUCGGAUGGAUUUGAGUAAGAGCAUAGCUGUUGGGACCCGAAAGAUGGUGAACUAUGCCUGAAUAGGGUGAAGCCAGAGGAAACUCUGGUGGAGGCUCGCAGCGGUUCUGACGUGCAAAUCGAUCC